Molecule: long non-coding RNA, 2022 nt
Filed under: Gossypium barbadense (sea-island cotton)
Lineage: Eukaryota; Viridiplantae; Streptophyta; Magnoliopsida; Malvales; Malvaceae
Description: long non-coding RNA (GBAR_LNC009718)
Source: RNAcentral
GAGAGUAGAAAGCUUUUGAGUAUUCGGUCAUUAGGAGGAGGAAAAUUGAAGGUAAGUUCUUGGUACCUUGCUUCUAUUUUGAGGUUCAUGAGUUCUUCUUGAUUCUACCUUAACUCUUGAAGUAUAUUUUGAUUUUUAGUUGUGUUGUGAGCAUUUAGUCAUGAAUUAAAAUGAACGAAAUGGUUGUUGUUUCAUGUUCUUUUGAUGAAAAACGGAAGAUAGGUGAAGUUGAGCCAAACAAAUGAGCAUGCACGUGCCUUAGAUGCUAAAGGGAAAAAAUCGGCUAACAUGUUGUGCUUUAAAAUGAUGAAAUGGAGAUUAUACUUAAGUAAAAUCAUAGAUAUGUGAUGAUUGAUUGGUGAUAUGCAUGUUUAAAUAACAAGCAUGCAAGUUAGGUGUGAAAGAGUGAUUUGGUAAUAAAUCUGCUUGGGACAGCAGCAGUAACGUGACUUUGCAAAAUCACCAUAAAUUGUGGGAGAUGAGUUAGAAGCUGAAUAAAAUAUGUAAUUAAAGACUAAUGAGUCUAGUUUCAAAUGGAAUAAACGAGAACAUAUUUUGAAUUCUGUACAAUGAGAAAUGUGAUUCGUAAUGAAGAGUGGUCAGAUUAGUCAAACAGUGAAACAUGGGAAACUUUGAGAAAAAUCUGGUAUUGAUUGGCUGAAUCAAAAUUUCUGAAAAUUUUAUAGAUAGAAGAUAUAUGAGUCUAUUUUCAGGGAAAAUUAACGGCACUUAAUUUGGAGUUUCGUAGCUCCAGUUAUAAAUGAUUUAGUGACUAUUGCUCAGGAAGACAGCUUGCAGUGAAAUUAUGAUUAUGUGGUAAACAUUGACAAAAAUUUGUUAAUGAGUUGCUUAUUGAUUUCUUAUAAGCUUACUAUGAUCUGUAGGUGUGGUUGGCCGAAUAUUGUAAGGGGUUAAUACGUAGUUUGUAUUUGAAUAGUUAGAUUAACGUGUUAGUAAUCCAAUUGUAGGCGGUUCAUGUGUGGAUCUCGUCAGCAUAUCGUCGCAAACAGGUGUGUAACUGACACCCUCUCAUAGACUAGAUUGGCAAAAGCCGAAAAGCCGAAAUGCCGAAAAGUCGGUAUUUUGGGAAUUUGCGAGAGUGCUAAUGCUCGCAAGAUAGUUGGGUUUGUAUAUUUGGUAAUCUAAAGUAAUUAACCGCAGUACGCGCGAUUUCGUACAUUUUGAUAAUUUGGGCUUAAUGGGCCAAAGAUUGGGUUCAUGGGCCAACGGGCCCAAUUCGGUAAGUAUGCGCGGUAAGUGUUCUGAUAGUACGUAAAUAGUUAGGAUAUGCAUGAAAACCCUGAAAGUAGCUAAAUUACUAUAAUACCCCUAUGUAUGGAAAAUUACUGUUAUACCCCUAGGUGCAAAAUUACCGUUAUACCCGUAGGGUUAAUUUUGACUGAAAAGCAUAGCGAUCUGAUUCUAUAUGAUGUAUGCUAUGAUUAUAUAUCUGUUGCAUGGGGACAUGGGAUAUAUUAUGGAGGAAGCGUUCUGGUGGCUCUGCCACAAAUAUCUGAUCUGGUGGCUCUGCCACAUAUAUCUGUUCUGGUGGCUCUGCCACGAUUAUCUGUAUCUGGUGACUCUGUCACAUUAUCUGUUCUGGCAGCCAUGCUGCAAAUUCUGUGGUGUGUAGCGGUUGGAUGGGUCGAGUUGUCUCCCCACACGGUGUAAGGUUGGUACGGGGGUGUAUACGGUUGGAUAUGGUUGGGUUUCUGCAUAAACAUGUAAUAUUUGUUCUGUUCUGUUAUGGGCCUAUGGGCUUUAUUUUGAAUUCUGUUCUAGGCUAAGGCCAACUUAUUCUAUUUCUGUGGUUUGAGCUGAUAUAGGCUAUGAUUGGGUUAAUUUACACACUGAGUUUCCCCAAACUCACCCCUUUUAUUUUCAUCAACGCAGGUAAUCCCCAACCAUAGUGGGCUUGGAGCUGUGAGGGAAUUCGGAGUGGCCACCCGUUCUGAAAGUUUGAUUUUCUUCUGGUGAACUGGACAUCCUUUUAAUUACGUUUGAGGUUUUGGGCUUUUAAAU